UACGUUGGCCAUAGCAAUUAGCCCAUUGCAGAGAACGGGCAAACUAUCUAGUUUAGGUGAAGCAAAAAUGAAAUUAGAAUAUUGAUCGCACACGAUCUAGGGUCUACCGCGGCCAGAAAUAUAGAUUGCAAGUUCAUAAAACAGGUAUAUACCCCGGUUAGUACUCGGUGGGCACACCACUACCGAGGAAUCUGAUCAUGCUAUACAUCUAGAUGAGUACACGGCCACAGAUA
Molecule: long non-coding RNA, 233 nt
Organism: Populus euphratica (Euphrates poplar)
Lineage: Eukaryota; Viridiplantae; Streptophyta; Magnoliopsida; Malpighiales; Salicaceae
Exons: 2
Source: RefSeq, a predicted model, not a curated record